Molecule: long non-coding RNA, 210 nt
Filed under: Lathyrus oleraceus (garden pea)
Lineage: Eukaryota; Viridiplantae; Streptophyta; Magnoliopsida; Fabales; Fabaceae
Description: Pisum sativum (pea) long non-coding RNA (PSAT_LNC022459)
Source: RNAcentral
AAAUAUAAUUAAACAUUAUCUUUCAAAUAGCCAAAUAACAUAGUGCCAUAUUCAAACUUUAACCUUUAGCCUUUAUCCUUGUCCCUUUUUUUCUUCUUUUUUUCUUUCUUUUUACUAAAUAAUACUCUUGUCUCUUUCUUACAUAUACAUAUUUCUCUUUCCUAUACCACCUUUAUCAUGUUUUUAGUUAAUCCAUUAACCCUCAUUUCC